Molecule: long non-coding RNA, 259 nt
Organism: Carassius carassius (crucian carp)
Lineage: Eukaryota; Metazoa; Chordata; Actinopteri; Cypriniformes; Cyprinidae
Exons: 3
Source: RefSeq, a predicted model, not a curated record
UGCCUCUUGUCCUCCAGCAACUUUCGGUGUCGUUACUUCCGAUUCAAAACAAGUCGAGAAGGUUUGAAUAGUCCAGACGUUGACAGUUUACACUUUACACAGCUCACGCUGUUCGGGAAAUCCGCUGUCCACCGACAUGCAAGGCAGUGCUGAUCAACAUAUGGAUGUAGAGCAGGGUUCUAAUUAUCAGCAGGCCCCACAUUCAUCAAGCAGUGUUGAUCAUCAAAUGAUGCAAAACGGUCAAGUCCUGCAUGAUCAG